UAAGAAGCCGAAAGGCAACUUCAAACCAUCGCGAACUUAUCCAAGUUGCUUCGGCGGCGCGGGACCCCUCGGGGGACCGCAGCCCGCGCCCUCCGGGGCGAGGGGCGCCCGCCGGAGGUCACAAACUCUCAUGUAUUACAGUGGCGUCUCUGAGUAAAAAACAAAUAAGUUA
Molecule: unclassified non-coding RNA, 172 nt
Filed under: uncultured Coniochaeta
Lineage: Eukaryota; Fungi; Ascomycota; Sordariomycetes; Coniochaetales
Description: sequence contains ITS1
Source: RNAcentral